GACACUUUCUGUUGUACCAAAGUCUUCGCUGAUUUUGUGCAUCAACACGUAACAAUAACUAACUGAAACCCAAUUUAGAUACGAUUCUGGAACAUCACUCAACGGAAUAGAAGGGAUUCCAGACCAUCUCUCAACGGAAUCCGAGUGGAUAAGAUUCCGGACCAUCACUCAACGGAAUCGCAGAAGACCAACAAUCAGAAUGUACGGUGGCUCAAAGAAAUGAGACAAUCACAUGCUACUUAAUUUACAAAAACUCAACAAAUGAAGAUUAGGCACAAUUACUAAAUUUAGAACCAAUCACCGAAGCGGAAGGUGAAACCAUAUCGAAGCUACAAAUCCCCAUCAUAAUGGUUAACGGUCAUUACUAGUCCUCACAUUAAUCUCAACAUGCCAAUCAUACAAGUCAAACCACAUUUCCAAUAAACAUGCCACACCCCAUUUCAUAAACAUAAAUUGAUGUCGAAGUAUUGGAAUAACAAUUCAAUAAAACAUAUUCAUAAAACCAAUUCAUAUCCACAUAGGAUCAUAAUUAUGACAACCUGGUAAUUACCAAUAUCACAUAUAUUAAAGUCACUCAUCUGGAGUCCGUGCUAAUGUACCCUAGCACGAUAGUCAAGACAUCACAUUCUAUCACCGCCUAACAAAGAACAAGUCCACAUUUAGAUUUCCUUCGAAAAUUCACAUACUCAAAAAUUCUCAUAUGUCUCCCACAACAACAUUUAAUGAGGAAUCGAACCGUCGUUCUAAUGUAGGGUCCAUGAUCUUACGUCAUUUGCUUCGUAAAAUCCAAUCACUAGAUUUUCACUUAUAAGUCCCUAAGGUCCAUAAACAAUCUACAAUAGCAUAUUAAAAUCUUGUCUCAAUUCAAUGAUAAGAUUGUCAAUUGUUAGAAUAAUUAAGUGGUAGACCUUAUCGAUAAUAUAUACAAUCAACAACAUUUUCAUAAAUCGAAUGUCACAUAUCGGAAAAUUCGAUUUUUUUCCAAAAAUUCUCAAAUUUUACAAGAAUGAAGAUUUUAACAAGUAGAGUAAACUUUGUAUCUGUGGCCGAGUCCAAUUUGGCCAAGAAGGCCCUCAAAUUGGCUCGCACCCAAUGAAACCCUAAGGUGGGUGUUCUUCAAUUCGGCUUCCUUGGUGUUCCAACGCCCCAACAACCAAUUGGGUCUUGUUCUUGGGUCCAAGGGAAGAUGAUUAAGGGUGAUGGUGAAUGGUGAUACUCUCCGGAAUGACAAUUCGUCGUCGAGAACCCCCGGGUUCUCCUAUGGAGUUCUACAUGAAAUAGACUUUAAAACCCUUGAUUUUUUUUUUGUAGAGAGGGAAGGAGGAAGGUAGUGGAGCAAGUUGCAGGUGAAGAAGGUAGGAAAAUCAAAAGAGAAAUGGUAGGAAUUGGCCUAACAUUGGCCGGUUUGAAAAUAAAAAGGGUUUGGUGGUGGUACACGGGUUCACCCAAUAGAAAAAGAAAAUGUCAACCUUUUCCUCCUUCCUAUUGAUCAUUUCUCAACCUUAAAAAAAAUAUGUUGGGUCCCCUUAAUAGUGGCUGCUGCCUAAACUUUUUCCACCUCCUAAUUUGCCCAAUUCCACUUAUAAUAGCCGGUCCAUUAAUCUAAAAAGGGUUUAGGUCUUUUACCCAUAAGUGGAAAUUAAAAUGAUUCCCACAAUCUAAAGUUUCACCAUUUCAAACGUCGGUAACUAUACCGUUAUAAUUCGGACUCGCAAACGGCUUUCGCCUAUGCGUUCGUGGGUUCAAGAUUUAUUUAAAAAACUAGUUGUAACUUCG
RNAcentral lists this long non-coding RNA (1776 nucleotides) under Malus domestica (apple). RNAcentral describes it as "long non-coding RNA (MDOM_LNC009410)". The record is from RNAcentral. Lineage: Eukaryota; Viridiplantae; Streptophyta; Magnoliopsida; Rosales; Rosaceae.